AGAGUUUGAUCCUGGCUCAGGAUGAACGCUGGCGGCGUGCCUAAUACAUGCAAGUCGAACGCACAGCGAAAGGUGCUUGCACCUUUCAAGUGAGUGGCGAACGGGCGAGUAACACGUGGAUAACCUACCUCAAGGUUGGGGAUAACAUUUGGAAACAGAUGCUAAUACCGAAUAAAACUUCGUAUCGCAUGAUACAAGGUUAAAAGGCGCUACGGCGUCACCUAGAGAUGGAUCCGCGGUGCAUUAGUUAGUUGGUGGGGUAAAGGCCUACCAAGACAAUGAUGCAUAGCCGAGUUGAGAGACUGAUCGGCCACAUUGGGACUGAGACACGGCCCAAACUCCUACGGGAGGCUGCAGUAGGGAAUCUUCCACAAUGGGCGAAAGCCUGAUGGAGCAACGCCGCGUGUGUGAUGAAGGCUUUCGGGUCGUAAAGCACUGUUGUAUGGGAAGAACAGCUAGAGUAGGGAAUGACUUUAGUUUGACGGUACCAUACCAGAAAGGGACGGCUAAAUACGUGCCAGCAGCCGCGGUAAUACUUAUGUCCCGAGCGUUAUCCGGAUUUAUUGGGCUUUAAGCGAGCGCAGACGGUUGAUUAAGUCUGAUGUGAAAGCCCGGAGCUCAACUCCGGAAAGGCAUUGGAAACUGGUCAACUUGAGUGCAGUAGAGGUAAGUGGAACUCCAUGUGUAGCGGUGGAAUGCGUAGAUAUAUGGAAGAACACCAGCGGCGAAGGCGGCUUACUGGACUGUAACUGACGUUGAGGCUCGAAAGUGUGGGUAGCAAACAGGAUUAGAUACCCUGGUAGUCCACACCGUAAACGAUGAACACUAGGUGUUAGGAGGUUUCCGCCUCUUAGUGCCGAAGCUAACGCAUUAAGUGUUCCGCCUGGGGAGUACGACCGCAAGGUUGAAACUCAAAGGAAUUGACGGGGACCCGCACAAGCGGUGGAGCAUGUGGUUUUAUUCGAAGCAACGCGAAGAACCUUACCAGGUCUUGACAUCCUUUGAAGCUUUUAGAGAUAGAAGUGUUCUCUUCGGAGACAAAGUGACAGGUGGUGCAUGGUCGUCGUCAGCUCGUGUCGUGAGAUGUUGGGUUAAGUCCCGCAACGAGCGCAACCCUUAUUGUUAGUUGCCAGCAUUCAGAUGGGCACUCUAGCGAGACUGCCGGUGACAAACCGGAGGAAGGCGGGGACGACGUCAGAUCAUCAUGCCCCUUAUGACCUGGGCUACACACGUGCUACAAUGGCGUAUACAACGAGUUGCCAACCUGUGAAGGUGAGCUAAUCUCUUAAAGUACGUCUCAGUUCGGACUGCAGUCUGCAACUCGACUGCACGAAGUCGGAAUCGCUAGUAAUCGCGGAUCAGCACGCCGCGGUGAAUACGUUCCCGGGUCUUGCACUAACGGCCCGUCA
This 1409-nucleotide ribosomal RNA is filed under the name uncultured bacterium. Its description in RNAcentral is "bacterial SSU rRNA". It matches the Rfam family "Bacterial small subunit ribosomal RNA". The record is from RNAcentral.